This 399-nucleotide ribosomal RNA is filed under the name uncultured bacterium. RNAcentral describes it as "bacterial SSU rRNA". It matches the Rfam family "Bacterial small subunit ribosomal RNA", at positions 361 to 776 of the family's 1533-position model. The record is from RNAcentral.
AUCUUGCGCAAUGGGGGAAACCCUGACGCAGCGACGCCGCGUGCGGGAUGAAGGCCUUCGGGUCGUAAACCGCUUUCAGCAGGGACGAAAUUGACGGUACCUGCAGAAGACGCCCCGGCCAACUACGUGCCAGCAGCCGCGGUAAUACGUAGGGGGCAAGCGUUGUCCGGAUUUAUUGGGCGUAAAGAGCUCGUAGGCGGCUUGGUAAGUCGGGUGUGAAAUCUCCACGCUCAACGUGGAGGGGCCACUCGAUACUGCCAUGGCUAGAGUCCGGUAGGGGAGUGUGGAAUUCCCGGUGUAGCGGUGAAAUGCGCAGAGAUCGGGAGGAACACCCGUAGCGAAGGCGGCACUCUGGGCCGGUACUGACGCUGAGGAGCGAAAGCGUGGGGAGCGAACAGG